CGCGGCCUAUCAGCUUGUUGGUGAGGUAAAGGCUCACCAAGGCAUCGACGGGUAGCUGGUCUGAGAGGACGAUCAGCCACACUGGGACUGAGACACGGCCCAGACUCCUACGGGAGGCAGCAGUAGGGAAUCUUGCGCAAUGGGCGAAAGCCUGACGCAGCAACGCCGCGUGGGGGAUGAAUGCCUUCGGGUUGUAAACCCCUUUCAGCAGGGACGAAAAUGACGGUACCUGCAGAAGAAGCUCCGGCCAACUACGUGCCAGCAGCCGCGGUAAUACAUAGGGAGCGAGCGUUGUCCGGAAUUAUUGGGCGUAAAGAGCUCGUAGGCGGUUCAGUAAGUCGGGUGUGAAAACUCAAGGCUCAACCUUGAGACGCCACUCGAUACUGCUGUGACUUGAGUCCGGUAGAGGAGUGUGGAAUUCCUGGUGUAGCGGUGAAAUGCGCAGAUAUCAGGAGGAACACCAGCGGCGAAGGCGGCACUCUGGGCCGGUACUGACGCUGAGGAGCGAAAGCAUGGGGAGCAAACAGGAUUAGAUACCCUGGUAGUCCAUGCCGUAAACGUUGGGCACUAGGUAUGGGAUCAUAUCAACGGAUUCCGUGCCGUAGCUAACGCAUUAAGUGCCCCGCCUGGGGAGUACGG
Molecule: ribosomal RNA, 639 nt
Filed under: uncultured Actinomycetes bacterium
Lineage: Bacteria; Bacillati; Actinomycetota; Actinomycetes
Description: bacterial SSU rRNA
Rfam family: Bacterial small subunit ribosomal RNA
Source: RNAcentral